Molecule: ribosomal RNA, 465 nt
Filed under: Vreelandella stevensii
Lineage: Bacteria; Pseudomonadati; Pseudomonadota; Gammaproteobacteria; Oceanospirillales; Halomonadaceae
Description: partial 16S ribosomal RNA
Rfam family: Bacterial small subunit ribosomal RNA
Source: RNAcentral
CCUACGGGUGGCUGCAGUGGGGAAUAUUGGACAAUGGGGGGAACCCUGAUCCAGCCAUGCCGCGUGUGUGAAGAAGGCCCUCGGGUUGUAAAGCACUUUCAGUGAGGAAGAACGCCUGGUGGUUAAUACCCAUCAGGAAAGACAUCACUCACAUAAGAAGCACCGGCUAACUCCGUGCCAGCAGCCGCGGUAAUACGGAGGGUGCGAGCGUUAAUCGGAAUUACUGGGCGUAAAGCGCGCGUAGGUGGCUUGAUAAGCCGGUUGUGAAAGCCCCGGGCUCAACCUGGGAACGGCAUCCGGAACUGUCAAGCUAGAGUGCAGGAGAGGAAGGUAGAAUUCCCGGUGUAGCGGUGAAAUGCGUAGAGAUCGGGAGGAAUACCAGUGGCGAAGGCGGCCUUCUGGACUGACACUGACACUGAGGUGCGAAAGCGUGGGUAGCAAACAGGAUUAGAUACCCGGGUAGUC